GACGAACGCUGGCGGCGUGCUUAACACAUGCAAGUCGAACGGAAAGGCCCUGCUUUUGUGGGGUGCUCGAGUGGCGAACGGGUGAGUAACACGUGAGUAACCUGCCCUUGACUUUGGGAUAACUUCAGGAAACUGGGGCUAAUACCGGAUAGGAGCUCCUGCUGCAUGGUGGGGGUUGGAAAGUUUCGGCGGUUGGGGAUGGACUCGCGGCUUAUCAGCUUGUUGGUGGGGUAGUGGCUUACCAAGGCUUUGACGGGUAGCCGGCCUGAGAGGGUGACCGGCCAAAUUGGAACUGAGAUACGGCCCAGACUCCUACGGGACGCAGCAGUGGGAAAUAUUGCACAAUGGGCGGAAGCCUGAUGCAGCAACGCCGCGUGCGGGAUGACGGCCUUCGAGUUGUAAACCGCUUUCGCCUGUGACGAAGCGUGAGUGACGGUAAUGGGUAAAGAAGCACCGGCUAACUACGUG
RNAcentral lists this ribosomal RNA (468 nucleotides) under uncultured bacterium. RNAcentral's name for it is "partial 16S ribosomal RNA". It matches the Rfam family "Bacterial small subunit ribosomal RNA", at positions 28 to 507 of the family's 1533-position model. The record is from RNAcentral.